AAAUUUAUAAAAGAAGUUAAACCACCUCUGUUGCCUCCAAUUUGCCCUACAUCUAACCCCGAACAACUCAUCCUCAUUGCCUCCAAUUUCCCCUCAUCGCUACUCCACCUCCACCGUAGCAUGUCCACCGUAGCAACUCCACCAUCGCACCAUAUCCACCGUCGCACCACCUCACUGUUGCCCAACCUCCGCCAUCGCACCAUUUCCGGAUCAUUGAAGAAUCCUCACAAUCUCCCAUGUCCACUGUAGCACCUCCACCAUCGCACCAUAUCCACCGUCGCACCACCUCACUGUUGCACAACCUCCGCCAUUUCCGGAUCAUUGAAGAAACCUCACUAUCUCCGUUCCACUUGACUAUUCACUCAGAUCCUAUUUAGAAGUUAUCUUCUUAGAUCCGAUGAUGAAGAUAAAAGUGCAAGGGUCAUUGGUGUGAGGUGCUCUAACGUGUUUAGGUUUCGAAAGCCACGCGGUGAGGCGAGAGCUUCACGUACGCAAAGUGUUGCUCUAUGUACAAACGGAAGUUGCAUCUGUCUCAUUUGUUUGUACAUUUUAGCCUUUUAAACCACGCUUGAUACCUAUAAACUUAACUUGCAACAGGUUAAUAGCCGGCCUUUAGCAAAGUUUCUAAACAAGACUAGCAUAGAAAAUGGUUUUGUAUCGGAAAAACCAGUUCAGCUCAUUCUUGGACACUCUCAACUAGACCUGGAGCAGGGCUUACAAAAGAGUUGGGAGCAUGAUACAUAAUGGCGAAAACAGUCAUGGGCUUGUUGGAGUCAUUGAUGUGACUGAUGUGAUGAUUGUGAACCUUAUGCUUUGCUUGAGGAUUGGCUUAGUGAAAAGGCAGAUGAGUACUUGGACAACACUGUCGACAAGGUCAAUGUGAAAAAAGGUGGAGUGCGGUACAAACCUGAUCUACAUUUGAAUUCAAUCGAUCGCGACUAAAACAGUUUCAGAUCUUCUUCACAUAAAUUUGAUUUCUAAAUCGAUCGUUUGUCUCAAGCAACUCAGAGAAUUGGUGCUGCCACUGCAGCUGAAGUUAGAGCAACUGGUAUUCCAUAUGCUUUUGCCCCUUGUAUUGUUGUUUGCAGAGAUCCAAGAUGGGGUUGAUGUUACGAGAGUUACAGUGAGGAUUCCAAACUUGUUCAAAAUAUGACCGACGUUAUUCUAUGGUUGCAAGGUGAAAUUCCUAAAGGAUCACGUCUCGGUGUCCCAUACGUUGCUGGAAAGGACAAGGUAGCUGCAUGUGCAAAGCACUUUGUGGCAGACGGUGGGACGACUCUCGGCAUAGAUGAAAAUAACACCGUGGCCAAUCGGCAUGAAUUGCUAAGUAUCCAGGGUGUAUCAACAGUCAUGGUGUCGUAUUCCAGCUGGAACGGUUAAAGAAUGCAUGCCAAUCGCGAUCUUAUUACUGGAUACCUCAAGGACAAGCUUAAUUUCAAGGGUUUUGUUAUCUCAGAUUGGGAGGGAAUUGACCGAAUUACUUUGCCUCCUCAUUCCAACUACACUUACUCUGUCUUAGCUAGUAUUACAGCUGGCAUCGAUAUGGUUAUGGUCCCGAAUAAUUACAUUGAGUUCAUUAAUGACCUUAAAUAUUUCGUCAAAAACAAAUUUAUCCUAAUGGAUCGUAUUGAUGAUGCUGUGAGCAGAAUUUUACGAGUCAAAUUUACAAUGGGACUGUUUGAGAACCCUAUUGCUGAUUUCAGUAAGGUUAACGAGGUUUGAAGCCAGCCACACAGAGAUAUAGCGAGGGAGGCAGUGAGGAAAUCAUUGGUGCUGUUGAAAAACGGGAAACAAGGAAGUGAACCGGUUCUGCCCCUGCCCAAGAGAGCAUCCAAGGUUUUGGUUGCUGGAAGUCAUGCCGAUAAUCUUGGCUACCAAUGUGGCGGCUGGACAAUCGGUUGGCAAGGGUUUAGUGGGAAUGCAAACGCAACAGCUAUUGUCUAUCUUAUGGGUGGGCACAGGCACUAG
RNA transcript from Helianthus annuus (common sunflower), 1968 nucleotides. It is a transcript of the gene named beta-glucosidase BoGH3B, with no coding region annotated. NCBI's taxonomy places the organism in Eukaryota, Viridiplantae, Streptophyta, Magnoliopsida, Asterales, Asteraceae. The record is from RefSeq and is a predicted model, not a curated record. The transcript is spliced from 13 exons.